Molecule: long non-coding RNA, 587 nt
Filed under: Gallus gallus (chicken)
Lineage: Eukaryota; Metazoa; Chordata; Aves; Galliformes; Phasianidae
Description: lncRNA (ENSGALG00010012029.1)
Source: RNAcentral
GGAAACCUGUUAAAGGUGCCAGUAAUGCUGUGGAAGGAUCUGAGAGAAGAAGGAGAAAAGUGGGAAUAGCCAUAAAGGAGGUUACUCACAGAUAGCUGUGAAGAAAUGAGACAGAAAAGGCGUGAGAGUGACCUGCUCUGAUGGUACUGCUGUUCCAGGACAUGCUACAUUCCAGCGGGUUUCUUCCCUUCAGUUGAACGCAAACAUACAGACACUGAAAGGCCGCUCUCAGGUCUCCCUGGAACCUUCUCCAGGCUGAACAGCCCCAGCUCUCUCAGCCUGUAGGAGAGAUGUUCCAUUCAGUCGAUCAUUUCUGUGGUCCUCCGCUGGAUGCGCUCCAACAGAUCCACGUCUCUUCUGUACUGGGGACUCCACAUCUGGAUGCAGUGCUCCAGGUGAGGUCUCAACAGCGCAAGACACGGUGCGGUCUGAUGUGUGACCCGGGAUGUGACCCGGUGUGUGACAGCGUGACCCCGGUCUGUAACCCAAUUUAUAACGCCAUGUGCAACACGAUGUGUGACUUGGUGCAUAAUACAGUCUGUGUCGCGGUGUGUGACCUGCUGUACAGCACAGCGCGUGGCCCACUG